This is a non-coding RNA of Camellia sinensis, 1146 nucleotides long. Lineage: Eukaryota; Viridiplantae; Streptophyta; Magnoliopsida; Ericales; Theaceae. The record is from RefSeq and is a predicted model, not a curated record.
CACAGAUGAGGGAGACAAUAUAGGUGAUGCAGUGGACCAUUUCGUGAAGACUAGGGUCUCUCUAUCUUUGUCCCGUAUUCUCCACGGGAGGCUUCUUUGCAAUGGCAACAGAGCAUAUCCAUUGCAUUGUGGGUGGGUAUUGACUGCAAGAGACGACAAUCCAUGUCGUCAUCGUCGGCUUGAGAAGGUUUACUUUCUCACUGCCUCUAGGGUUCUCUUCUCCAACCCUCCUCAUAUCAGCAAGUUUUGGUAGCUGAGCUGAAAAAGAAUGAAGAACGAAAGCAUCAUGUAAUCGAAUUUCGAGUCAUAGAAAAGAGGAAAGUAAUGGGGUCCGAUUCUGAAUUUUCAAGCUUAAAAUCAAGAGUUGAUGCAUUAGAGAGGAGAUUGAAGCUGAAUCAAAGAAAAUGCCAAGUGUCACCAAAACCAACGAUGAGGAAGAACAUAAGAAGAGGUUGCAGCUUUCAGAUGCUGGUUCAAACACCAAAAUUGCCACGGGUAACAAACUAGUUUGAAGUUGGAGGAGCCAGCAUUGAACUUGGUUUUGAAGCUGCUAAGCAGAAGCCAGAAGUGAAUGCCAGCAAUGGAGGCAUCAGUUGAAUGUCUUUGUUGAUACAGUUGAUUUACACGCCAUGGAUUUGUUUCUUGGGGCGUUUCACAGUCAAUAAAGUUGGACAACUCUUGAGUGAACUAACUGAAAAUAUUUCUCUGCUAUUCCAGCUUCCUCCCUUGAUUUUUUCUGUAUGUAUAUUUCUUCAUCAAAGAUUUGAAAUGAACAACCCUACUAGGUUGAAGUUGGAGGAGACAGCAUUGAACUCGGUUAUUGAAGCUGCUAAGGAGAAGCCAGAAGUGAAUGCCAGCAAUGGAGGCAUCAGUUGAAUGUCUUUGGUUGAUUCUGUUGAUUUGCACGCCAUGGAUUUGCCUCUUGGGGCGUUUCACAGUCAAUAAAGUUGGACAACUCUUGAGUGAACUCACUGUAAAUAUUUCUCUGCUAUUUCUUCUUCAUCAAAGAUUUGAAAUGAACCAAAGAGCUUAGCUCUGAAGGGACACUUCAGGUACAGACAAAUUCAAACAGAGGUAUGGUUGCUGAAAACUGCGGGGUGUUAACCGCGAUUUUUAUGAACUCUAUAUGAAUUUCUCUUUUUUCUU